AUGGAUCGGCACUCGGAGCGUCUGCUUCUCCUGCGCGUGUACGCGUUCCUCAAGUCGAGGAAACUCAACCGCGCGGCGAACGCGCUGGAGCAGGAGGCGCGGCUCCGGUUCGACUGGCCCCGCGUGCACCUCAUGAUCCGGGCCGGGCGGUGGCGGUCGGCGGAAGAGUACACGUCGGCGUUCCUGGACGGCGGCAGGGCCAGCACGCCGGAGGCCUGCGCCACCCUGUUCCUCCUCCGGUUCCAGCGCUUCGUGCGCGCGCUCAAGCGCGGCGACGAGGCGUGGGCGGAGCGGUACCUGGCGCGCCGCAUCCUGCCCGUCCUGCAUGCCCACCCCGACAGAGACGCCGCCGCGGCCAGAUGCGCCGCCGUGCUGCGCGACAGGCGCGCCCUCGACGCGCAGCGUGACGAUGCCGAAGCGCGGCGCGCCUGCAACCACGAGUUCCUCGGCCUCAUAUUCCAGAACGAUGGGUUCUUGAUCCUCACCGACGACGACACCGAGCUAAAGCGCCUCGAGCGGGCGGCCUCCCUUGGUCUCCGACGAUACGCACGCCCGCGCCGCGGCCGACCUAGGGCUAGGAGGGGUUGA
RNAcentral lists this ribosomal RNA (588 nucleotides) under Triticum aestivum (bread wheat). RNAcentral's name for it is "partial small subunit ribosomal RNA". Lineage: Eukaryota; Viridiplantae; Streptophyta; Magnoliopsida; Poales; Poaceae. The record is from RNAcentral.